ACUGAGAUAGUAUAAAAGAGUGCUAAAUUGCUCAGGAUGAACGCUGGCGGCGUGCUUAACACAUGCAAGUCGAACGAUGAAGCCCAGCUUGCUGGGUGGAUUAGUGGCGAACGGGUGAGUAACACGUGAGUAACCUGCCCUUAACUCUGGGAUAAGCCUGGGAAACUGGGUCUAAUACCGGAUAGGAGCGUCCACCGCAUGGUGGGUGUUGGAAAGAUUUAUCGGUUUUGGAUGGACUCGCGGCCUAUCAGCUUGUUGGUGAGGUAAUGGCUCACCAAGGCGACGACGGGUAGCCGGCCUGAGAGGGUGACCGGCCACACUGGGACUGAGACACGGCCCAGACUCCUACGGGAGGCAGCAGUGGGGAAUAUUGCACAAUGGGCGCAAGCCUGAUGCAGCGACGCCGCGUGAGGGAUGACGGCCUUCGGGUUGUAAACCUCUUUCAGUAGGGAAGAAGCGAAAGUGACGGUACCUGCAGAAGAAGCACCGGCUAACUACGUGCCAGCAGCCGCGGUAAUACGUAGGGUGCGAGCGUUAUCCGGAAUUAUUGGGCGUAAAGAGCUCGUAGGCGGUUUGUCGCGUCUGUCGUGAAAGUCCGGGGCUUAACCCCGGAUCUGCGGUGGGUACGGGCAGACUAGAGAGUAGAGGGGAUCCUUCC
This 658-nucleotide ribosomal RNA is filed under the name Micrococcus luteus. Its description in RNAcentral is "bacterial SSU rRNA". It matches the Rfam family "Bacterial small subunit ribosomal RNA", at positions 1 to 664 of the family's 1533-position model. The record is from RNAcentral. Lineage: Bacteria; Bacillati; Actinomycetota; Actinomycetes; Micrococcales; Micrococcaceae.